UCUCACCACAGCUCUUCCGAGCUCUCCCUCUCUCCCCCCCCUUUGCUUUUUAGUGGCGGAUAUCACCGGCGGGACUAGGAUCGGCUCCGACGAUGGUCACCAAAACACAGAUCCGAUAAAGCACAGUAGACGGCCUAGCGACGACAACAUUCCGGCGACAACUUUUAGGCAACGCUAUUUUCACCAACCAACUCCGACAACAAAAUUGACGGUACCAUAAGCACGCAGAAUUACCCCGGUGACAUCUAAACUUUGAUAUUUAGAUAUUUGCACUAGUUAAUAUUUAGAUAUUUGCACUACUCGGAUUCGGCGAACUGGUUCGAUGGACGUCGGUGGUGAAGGCGGUGGAGCCAGAAAAUCCAGGUGGGGGUCUCUACCGGAUAUUGCAACUACUGUCCAGAUUUGAGCCGGCGACUUUCCGGCAAAGUGAUUCCGGCGACCUAAUUUGCUGGGUUCCAGCACAACAAGCAAGAGCAAAUUACAUGAUAUACGUAUUUCG
This 499-nucleotide long non-coding RNA is filed under the name Capsicum annuum. RNAcentral describes it as "long non-coding RNA (CANN_LNC012667)". Lineage: Eukaryota; Viridiplantae; Streptophyta; Magnoliopsida; Solanales; Solanaceae. The record is from RNAcentral.